RNAcentral lists this unclassified non-coding RNA (402 nucleotides) under soil metagenome. Its description in RNAcentral is "partial contains 5.8S ribosomal RNA, internal transcribed spacer 2, and large subunit ribosomal RNA". The stretch from base 1 to 121 matches the Rfam family "5.8S ribosomal RNA", at positions 35 to 154 of the family's 154-position model. The record is from RNAcentral.
GAUGAAGAACGCAGCGAAAUGCGAUAAGUAAUGUGAAUUGCAGAAUUCCGUGAAUCAUCGAAUCUUUGAACGCACCUUGCGCCCUUUGGCUAUUCCGAAGGGCAUGCCUGUUUGAGUAUCGUGAACACCUCAACUCUCAUGGUUUGCCAUGAUGAGCUUGGACUUUGGGGGUUUUGCUGGCCUUUGGUCGGCUCCUCUCAAACGGAUCAGCUUUCCAGUGUUUGGUGGCGUCACGGGUGUGAUAACUAUCUACGCCUGUGGUUUUCUGCCAGAUAACCUUCAGCGAUGGAGGUUCGCUGGGGCUCAUAAAUGUCUCUCUUCAGUGGAGACAGCUUUUUGGACGUUUGAUCUCAAAUCAGGUAGGACUACCCGCUGAACUUAAGCAUAUCAAUAAGCGGAGGA